GACGAACCCUUGCGGCGUGCUUAACACAUGCAAGUCGAACGGAAAGGCCCUGCUUUUGUGGGGUGCUCGAGUGGCGAACGGGUGAGUAACACGUGAGUAACCUGCCCUUGACUUUGGGAUAACUUCAGGAAACUGGGGCUAAUACCGGAUAGGAGCUCCUGCUGCAUGGUGGGGGUUGGAAAGUUUCGGCGGUUGGGGAUGGACUCGCGGCUUAUCAGCUUGUUGGUGGGGUAGUGGCUUACCAAGGCUUUGACGGGUAGCCGGCCUGAGAGGGUGACCGGUCGCAUUGGGACUGAGAUACGGCCCAGACUCCUACGGGAGGCAGCAGUGGGGAAUAUUGCACAAUGGGCGGAAGCCUGAUGCAGCAACGCCGCGUGCGGGAUGACGGCCUUCGGGUUGUAAACCGCUUUCCCCUGUGACGAAGCGUGAGUGACGGUAAUGGGUAAAGAAGCACCGGCUAACUACGUCCCCACGCAGCCGCGGUGAUACGUAGGGUGCGAGCGUUGUCCGGAUUUAUUGGGCGUAAAGGGGCUCGUAGGUGGUUGAUCGGCGUCCGAAGUGUAAUCUUGGGGCUUAACCCUGAGCGUGCUUUCGAUACGGGUUGACUUGAGGAAGGUAGGGGAGAAUGGAAUUCCUGGUGGAGCGGUGGAAUGCGCAGAUAUCAGGAGGAACACCAGUGGCGAAGGCGGUUCUCUGGGCCUUUCCUGACGCUGAGGAGCGAAAGCGUGGGGAGCGAACAGGCUUAGAUACCCUGGUAGUCCACGCUGUGAACGGUGGGUACUAGGUGUGGGGUCCAUUCCACGGGUUCCGUGCCGUAGCUAACGCUUUAAGUACCCCGCCUGGGGAGUACGGCCGCAAGGCUAAAACUCAAAGGAAUUGACGGGGCCCCGCACAAGCGGCGGAGCAUGCGGAUUAAUUCGAUGCAACGCGUAGAACCUUACCUGGGUUUGACAUGGAUCGGGAGUGCUCAGAGAUGGGUGUGCCUCUUUUGGGGUCGGUUCACAGGUGGUGCAUGCCUGUCGUCAGCUCGUGUCGUGAGAUGCUGGGUUAAGUCCCGCAACGAGCGCAACCCUUGUUCACUGUUGCCAGCACGUUAUGGUGGGGACUCAGUGGAGACCGCCGGGGUCAACUCGGAGGAAGGUGGGGAUGACGUCAAGUCCUCAUGCCCCUUAUGUCCAGGGCUUCACGCAUGCUACAAUGGCUGGUACAGAGAGUGGCGAGCCUGUGAGGGUGAGCGAAUCUCGGAAAGCCGGUCUCAGUUCGGAUUGGGGUCUGCAACUCGACCUCAUGAAGUCGGAGUCGCUAGUAAUCGCAGAUCAGCAACGCUGCGGUGAAUACGUUCCCGGG
RNAcentral lists this ribosomal RNA (1347 nucleotides) under uncultured bacterium. RNAcentral's name for it is "16S ribosomal RNA". It matches the Rfam family "Bacterial small subunit ribosomal RNA", at positions 28 to 1378 of the family's 1533-position model. The record is from RNAcentral.